AUGGGUUCGGACCGGCAACAUGGUGGCUCGGGGGACGUGGUGGCGCCGAAAGGGCGGAAGAGACAGAGACAGCUGCUGCUGGAGUCCAGCGACUCUGAAGCGGAUGAAUCUUGCCUCUUGACGCGGCACAAGUCAGACGAGCCUAAUGCCGCCUUAGGCAACGGUGAUCAAUCAGUGGAGAAAGUGGUGCCUCCUAGUUCUGAGCUUCCUGGGGCUAAAACUACUCAAAGAGAUGGUUCAGAGAAGAACAAGGGAGAUGAACUUAACAGUGCCAGCAGUCGAAAUGGCGAUGACCUGUCAGAGGAGAAAGUGGUGCCUCUUAGUUCUGACAAGCUCCACAGGGUCAAGUCCACUCAAGGAGACUAUCCAGAGAAGAAUAAGGGAGAUAAGAACAGCAGGAGUAGCUCACAGCCUGACUCCAAGAGGAGCAAAAUCGAGGAUGCCAAAGUUGGUGCUUUUGGAAACGGUGGAAGUGCUUCAAAGGAUGUAACUGUAGCAAAAAUGCUGCGUCCAGGGUUCCCAAAAUGGCGGUUCGAGAAGCCCGAGGUAAGGGCUGGACGAGUUGAUGAGAAAGGUGGGGUGGAGAUGAAGGCAACCAUUGGCUCAAAGGUCAAGGAGCAGGCAUCGAGCUUGGAUGACAAGAGGAGACAUGUAGAGCUACUGAAACGUAAGAAACACAAGCCGUUGAAGACUGACAUGAGCAACUCGGUUGACUCUGGCCGACAGGAACGUGGGGAGGAGACGAAGGCAAAGUUCAAGGAGCAGGACUCAAGUUUGGAUGUCAAGAGGAGGCCAGUAGGAUCACUGGAACAUGAGAAACACAUACUGCUGAAGACUGACAAGGCUAGCUUGGCUGGGUCUGUCCAAGGGGAAGUUAUAAGGGUUCAAGGGAAAAGUGGCCUUUUGAAGAUCCUGCCAAAGAACGAUAAGGUGCUCAGGGAAACUAGCGAUGGCAAGAUUCUGCCGAAGAAGUCGAAUGUUGAUGGGGAUACCAGUGAUGGCAAUACUCUGCCAAAGAAUGUUAAGGUGGAGGCUGGGGAUGGCAAGAUUCCGACGAAGAGUGGUGUUUUAAAGCUUCUUCCGAAGAACAAUAAGAUGGUCAGAGAAAACACUGAUGAAAACCUUAUUCCCAAGAACAUUAAGUUGGAGGGGGAGACCAGUGAUGGCAAGAUUUUGAUGAAGACCAGUAAGAUGGAUACAGGAAGCGGCGAUGACAAGGUCGCGACUAAGAACUGUAUGGUGGAUUUAAAAGCUGUUGCUGGCAAGUUUCCGUCGAGGAACAGUAGGAUGGAUGAAGAGACCAUUACUGGCUAUGAACAGGAUAAGGAUAAAAGCAGUGCUCUGAUCGAGUCCCAAAAGCGGGAUUUAAAUGGUGGGAAGAAAGUUACUGGAAAGCUGGUCUCCUCUGUCAUAUUGAGGAGAAGCGAUCCAAGCGUAGUGGGAGUUUCUUCAGGCCAUGCUGUGAAACAGAAAAGUUCAAAGGUGCAGCCGAAGAUCUCCUCACAAGGCAAUCAUCAGCCCUCACCAAGCCUGAAAGAUGAGAAAAAUGAACUUGGUGAACACAAAAAUGAGAAGAAGAGAUUGCUUGAGCAUAAAGGUUCACCAGAGAAUUUAUCCAAGAAAGUAAAAUUGGAAGUCACUGAUCUGCAAGGCACAUCUGAUUCUGCUCCCAAGAAGCAUGUCAUGAUGAAGAAACCAAGGGGAGGACCUCGUAGUGCACUUAAGCAGAAACUCCGGGAUCAGAUUAAAGGUAUACUAUUACAUAACGGAUGGACAAUUGAUCUAAGGCCUCGGAAAGAUAAAGAUUAUGAAGAUUCUGUGUAUGUUUCUCCACAAGGUAGUAGCUAUUGGUCAAUCACAAAGGCUUAUGCAGUGUUCCAAGAGCAAGUGAAAAGUUCACAGGAUGAGAACCCUACAGGUGGACCAGGUGUUGCAGAUGCUUCCUUUGAUGCCAUAUCAAAAGAGGACCUAGCAAUGCUACAAAGAAUUGUGCGGAAAAGAAAGGGCAAAAAAGAACAUUCUGCUGAGAAGAAGGGAGGGGACAACAGAAGCAGGACCUCAAAAGGUGCCUCUGCUGGUAGAAGUUCUAGAAACAAGUAUCAGAACAACAAAGAGAAGGUAAAAGCCAAGCAUCUGGGAUGUGCACUUCUUGUCCAUGGUAGUGCUCGUAAUAUGGAAGGCAUGGGUAACUACGUUCCAUAUAAAUGGAAGAGGACGGUUUUAUCGUGGAUGAUAGAUCUGGGUGUUGUUUCACAAGAUGCGAAGGUCAAAUACAUGGACAAAAAAGGAACACAGGCAAUAUUAGAUGGUAGAAUUACCAGGAAUGGUAUUUACUGCGGAUGCUGUUCCAAGAUUCUCACAGCUGCUAAGUUUGAACUUCAUGCUGGUUCAAAAGAGCAUCAGCCUUAUGCAAACAUCUUCCUAGAAGAUGGUGGGGUUCCAUUGUUGCAAUGCUUACUUGAUGCAUGGGAUAAGCAAUCACAACAUGAAAAGAAGGGAUUUUACAAGAUAGAUCCUGCUGAUGAUCCUGAUGAUGAUACUUGUGGUAUUUGUGGUGAUGGCGGUGACUUGCUCUGCUGCGAUCGCUGUACUUCAACUUUUCAUGUGGCUUGCUUAGGAAUCGAGAUGCCUUCUGGAGAUUGGUAUUGUCGUAGCUGUAUAUGCAAAUUCUGCAGCUCUGCUGAAGAAAUGACACCGUCUUUCACUGAGUUGCUUUCUUGCUUGCAAUGUUCAAGAAAAUAUCACCAGGUUUGUACACCUGGAACUGAGAGGGACUCCGUUUGUACCCCACCCGGUGCCUCCAUUGAUCACUUCUGCAGCCCAGGAUGUAGAAAGAUUUAUAAACGACUAAAAAAGCUUCUUGGGUUCAAGAAUAAUAUGGAAGCCGGAUUUUCCUGGAGUCUGGUUCGCUGUUUUGCUGAAAGUGAGGCUGCACCCAUGAAAAGGAAAGCAGAAUUUGUAUAUUGCAACUCAAAGACAGCUGUUGCUUUCUCAGUUAUGAAUGAGUGCUUUUUGCCACGUAUCGAUGAGAGAAGUGGGAUUAAUAUAAUUCACAAUGUCGUAUACAAUUGUGGGUCGGAUUUCAAUCGUUUAAAUUUUAGUGACUUCUAUACAUUUAUUCUGGAGCGUGGAGAAGAAGUUAUAUCUGCGGCAACUGUCAGGAUUCAUGGAACUGAGUUAGCAGAAAUGCCAUUCAUAGGCACAAGGGGCAUGUAUCGGGGCCAAGGGAUGUGCCAUCGACUGCUCAAUGCAAUUGAAUCGGCCCUUUGCUCUCUUAAUGUUCGAAGACUAGUAAUACCUGCCAUACCCGAAAUGCAGAAGACCUGGACUACAGUUUUUGGGUUUAAGCCUGUUGGCCCUAUGAAGAAGCAAAAAAUGAAGUCUUUUAAUCUCUUGAUUAUCCAUGGUACUGGUCUUCUGGAGAAGCGCUUGUUGCUAACAGCUCAAGUGAAUCGACAAACUGCUUCUGUGACAGUUAAUGCCGUUGAAUGUGACAAGACAGCUUCUCAAACGUUUGGGGAAGCAAGUGGAUCCCUUACACCUGUUUAUGUUUCUCAAGAAUUUGCUGUGGGUGGUCAUCCUGAAACUAAGGAUCAUGACACUUGUGCUUUGAUUGAGGGCUCUUCAGGCUUGGCAUCUAACCUUCCUCCUGUUUCUGAAGAAAAAACUGAAGAAACUAUUUCAACAGUUUCCAUAGCUGAUGUUAAUUUGCAUAUAAGUGAAGAUGACAUGCCUUGCAAGGCUUUAGCUGACAUUACGGAAAAAGUGAAAUAUGCAGAAACAGAUUUGACAUUGGUUGCUGAUAAGAUUGUUGUAGAAGAGAAGCCUGAAGAUAAAUCUAGCUCCAGUUCUGCAGAUUCAAAGGCUAUUCCAGUGACAGUGGAUCCAUGCCCAUGUUCAUUUGAUGAGCUUGGGAAAUAUGAAAAUUACCCACCUAGUGUACAUUCUGUUGAUGCUGUUCUCGUAAAAGACAGACCUGAAUCUAAUUUCAGCACCAGUUCCAUCUCUGGCCGCUUUGAUACUCAAGAAGAUAAGAAGUCUUGUGUAGUUCCUGCUAAUACUGAAGUUCCUUUAGUCACUAUGGGUCGAAAGCCUGAUAACCACGAGUUCAAAACUAUUGUCGCUGAUGGUGGUGAUAUGCAAAGCUCACUAGAAGUUAAAUAUUUGGAAGUUCUAGUAGAUGAAAGAUCAACAGAUGCCUAUGCAGCUAAAAAUAAAGCAUUUGUUGGUGGUGUAACUAGUUAUGCUGUUGCUGUUACUAAAGACAAUGGUCAUUCUGCAGUUGAUCUUGUAGUAUCAGCAGAGAGAUCACUGGAUGAAACAAAUUCUGUAGAGUGUGAUAAGAGUGAAGUUAAGGUUGCAACAGUCGAAGUGGGUGCUAUAGUCGAGAGCUCUAAUGGGGCAGGCAUUACAGUUUCGGCGCUUGAAAAAUCAGAUGACUUCAAUGGUGAAGUUACCGCAAAGCCUACUCUAACUUGUGGGGAUGGUCAACUUCAUUGA
This 4500-nucleotide ribosomal RNA is filed under the name Triticum aestivum (bread wheat). RNAcentral's name for it is "partial small subunit ribosomal RNA". Lineage: Eukaryota; Viridiplantae; Streptophyta; Magnoliopsida; Poales; Poaceae. The record is from RNAcentral.